GUUUGGGUGAGGAGGAGAGCUGCAACCCGGCCCAUGGAAGCCAGGGAAUGGGGAGCUGAUUUAAGCUGGCCACCUGAAGUCACCCAGGUAGGUGUCUAGGCAGAUCAGGAUCCCUAGACACUUGUUCUUUUUUCCCUCUCUUCUCAGCUGGGGGAGCUUUGAGAGGUGAACUUCCAGAAGGGAAUGGAUUUUUGUGAGAUCAAUUUCAAACUGAUCCAUCAUGACUAUGUCGACGCACUCAGAGACCUCAAGGAAUACGGAAGCCAUAGUCUGCGACCAAUGGAACCGUGUCACCUGGUUAACAAGCCUGAGCCGACGCUGGCAAAGAAGCCAGAAUUCCCAAGCUUUCCCAGGCGAGUGUGGAGAAACACCAGGACGCCUUUUUCUCCCCGCACCCCCCGCCCCGUCCCAUCUGCAGCCAAGUGUGCCUCGGUCAAAGGCAAACUCUGAAUUAAGCUUUGUGCUGGUCUCUGGAAGGAUACCCGGGAUCGUGUGACGGAGAAAAGUGACAGCGGCGGUGGUGGCAGUGACAUCUGUGGGGCUAGCCCCGUCCCUAUCUGCCGCGGGAUGCGUGUGGGCAUGCUUUGUGAGAAGAAUCCACCCCGGGUAGAAUGGGGCUUUUGACAUCAGCUGAGGCCUGGGCUGCCUCACAAUGAGGCCUGUUGGUCAAAGGGAGACUGUUUAAUGAAGUGCCCGCCAGAGGCCAGCUCCGGCCAUCUGUACUGGGGACCUUCGGAGCGAGCCUUCCCUGUAACCCGCUACAUGUGCGAAAGCACGUUGCCUUUCACAGAAGGCAGCUGCGACGAUAAAUUCAUAUUCCCAAACGGUGACCUUUUGACUGCUUUUUGUGUGUGCGUGAUGAAAAGCUUCAUACCAGCUUGAUACUAAGGCUUCAUAAGCAAGGAAGCCGGAAAAAGGAGCCUUUUUUGGCCCUGAGGUCAAUAAUGAUAACGGCUUUCUCCUUACACGAGGUAGCAACGCCCUGCCAAGGAUGCGAAAACACCGCGUGAAAAUGAAAUUCGUGAAAGCCCUUAAUGAUCAAGUGAGGGGGGCAGGUGAUGGCAACCGCCACCCCACGGCUGGUGAAACGCCGAGGUUCGGGGAGAAGGAUGACUCAUGACCAAGGUCAAAGAGCAGCUGGGCGGUGGGGCUCGCGUCACAUCAUGUCCUCCAGCCUCUGGCACUGAGGAAAUCACGUAAAACUUUGCGAUGACUUUUCCUGGCAGGCUCGUUCUUCCCAGCCGGAGCGCAGGUGGCAAUGUUGCGAUUCCUGGCGUAACCUUCAAUGCUUCGCUGAUAAUCUCUGUCGUCGCCAGGCACCAGCAGACUGUCACAGCGCAACUCCCAGGCUUCAGCGAUGCCCGCCGAGGUCUUCAUUGCAGCCUCUCAUUUAUUAGCUGUGUUGGAAAGAACUCUCUAAUACCUAGCUGGGUACCUCUGGAUUUUAACAGCUGUGGUUUAUAAGAGAUUUAGGGGGGGGUUGUUUUCAAAGUGCCUUUCAGAAAGUAUCACCUUAGACGGGAGUUUCCGUUCUGUUGCGGUAGGAUGACUUGCUCUUGUGCUCAGAAAACCAAGCCUGCAAGAAAAAUCAGAUAUUUUCUUACAAGACUUCUUAGCAGGCGGGCCUCUAUAUGACUUUCCCUUCUCCUCCCCUUUAUUGGCCAUAACCUUAACGGAAGGCUUUUGAUGUCAAAUGCUGAGUAUCUUGGAAGAGGUCCUGCGUAGACAAGACUGCUUGGCCAGGGGCUGGAGAGUCACAGUUGGACUGGACUUGAAGGCCCCUUCUAAUCUGAGAUGUUGUGACUCCGGAGCUAAUUAGCCUCAACUUCUACAAUGAAAUGACACUAACUGCCAUUUAUUGAGCACUUUCUGUGUCAGCUCUGUGCUGAGAUCUUAACAUCAUUCUCUGAAUUCUGACAAAACCCCGCCAAUAUCAUCCACCUUUUAUGAACGAAGAAACAGGGGUUUAGAGAAGUUAAAAGCUUGUCUGGUGGCACAGAUGUAAGGUUUGGUGAGCGACUGUCCCCUGGAAAUCGAUUCCAGGUGAGUCUACAUCCAUACUCG
RNAcentral lists this long non-coding RNA (2064 nucleotides) under Lynx canadensis (Canada lynx). Its description in RNAcentral is "lncRNA (ENSLCNG00005019736.1)". The record is from RNAcentral. Lineage: Eukaryota; Metazoa; Chordata; Mammalia; Carnivora; Felidae.